This 64-nucleotide transfer RNA is filed under the name Podarcis lilfordi (Lilford's wall lizard). It matches the Rfam family "tRNA". From Rfam's summary of the family: Transfer RNA (tRNA) molecules are approximately 80 nucleotides in length. The record is from Rfam by way of RNAcentral. Lineage: Eukaryota; Metazoa; Chordata; Lepidosauria; Squamata; Lacertidae.
GGACUCAGUGGUAGAGCAUUUGCUUUGCAUGCAAAACGCCCAGGUUCAAUUCCUGGCAUCUCCA